UCUGAAAAAGGCAAACUCCGAGGAAUCGGAGGACGCAAAGCCACGGGCCCGAUCCGCCGCGCAGUUAGGCGAAGGGCAGCCGGGUUGCCAAAU
RNAcentral lists this non-coding RNA (93 nucleotides) under Candidatus Omnitrophota bacterium. RNAcentral describes it as "Omnitrophica WOR c-di-GMP sequence". It matches the Rfam family "c-di-GMP-I-GGC riboswitch aptamer". Lineage: Bacteria; Pseudomonadati; Candidatus Omnitrophota. The record is from RNAcentral.